GACGAACGCUGGCGGCGUGCCUAAUACAUGCAAGUAGAACGCUGAAGAGAGGAGCUUGCUCUUCUUGGAUGAGUUGCGAACGGGUGAGUAACGCGUAGGUAACCUGCCUUGUAGCGGGGGAUAACUAUUGGAAACGAUAGCUAAUACCGCAUAACAAUGGAUGACACAUGUCAUUUAUUUGAAAGGGGCAAUUGCUCCACUACAAGAUGGACCUGCGUUGUAUUAGCUAGUAGGUGAGGUAACGGCUCACCUAGGCGACGAUACAUAGCCGACCUGAGAGGGUGAUCGGCCACACUGGGACUGAGACACGGCCCAGACUCCUACGGGAGGCAGCAGUAGGGAAUCUUCGGCAAUGGGGGCAACCCUGACCGAGCAACGCCGCGUGAGUGAAGAAGGUUUUCGGAUCGUAAAGCUCUGUUGUAAGUCAAGAACGAGUGUGAGAGUGGAAAGUUCACACUGUGACGGUAGCUUACCAGAAAGGGACGGCUAACUACGUGCCAGCAGCCGCGGUAAUACGUAGGUCCCGAGCGUUGUCCGGAUUUAUUGGGCGUAAAGCGAGCGCAGGCGGUUUGAUAAGUCUGAAGUUAAAGGCUGUGGCUCAACCAUAGUUCGCUUUGGAAACUGUCAAACUUGAGUGCAGAAGGGGAGAGUGGAAUUCCAUGUGUAGCGGUGAAAUGCGUAGAUAUAUGGAGGAACACCGGUGGCGAAAGCGGCUCUCUGGUCUGUAACUGACGCUGAGGCUCGAAAGCGUGGGGAGCGAACAGGAUUAGAUACCCUGGUAGUCCACGCCGUAAACGAUGAGUGCUAGGUGUUGGAUCCUUUCCGGGAUUCAGUGCCGCAGCUAACGCAUUAAGCACUCCGCCUGGGGAGUACGACCGCAAGGUUGAAACUCAAAGGAAUUGACGGGGGCCCGCACAAGCGGUGGAGCAUGUGGUUUAAUUCGAAGCAACGCGAAGAACCUUACCAGGUCUUGACAUCCCGAUGCUAUUUCUAGAGAUAGAAAGUUACUUCGGUACAUCGGUGACAGGUGGUGCAUGGUUGUCGUCAGCUCGUGUCGUGAGAUGUUGGGUUAAGUCCCGCAACGAGCGCAACCCCUAUUGUUAGUUGCCAUCAUUCAGUUGGGCACUCUAGCGAGACUGCCGGUAAUAAACCGGAGGAAGGUGGGGAUGACGUCAAAUCAUCAUGCCCCUUAUGACCUGGGCUACACACGUGCUACAAUGGUUGGUACAACGAGUUGCAAGUCGGUGACGGCAAGCUAAUCUCUUAAAGCCAAUCUCAGUUCGGAUUGUAGGCUGCAACUCGCCUACAUGAAGUCGGAAUCGCUAGUAAUCGCGGAUCAGCACGCCGCGGUGAAUACGUUCCCGGGCCU
RNAcentral lists this ribosomal RNA (1369 nucleotides) under uncultured bacterium. RNAcentral describes it as "bacterial SSU rRNA". It matches the Rfam family "Bacterial small subunit ribosomal RNA", at positions 28 to 1381 of the family's 1533-position model. The record is from RNAcentral.